This is a long non-coding RNA of Pocillopora verrucosa, 519 nucleotides long. RefSeq lists it as uncharacterized. Lineage: Eukaryota; Metazoa; Cnidaria; Anthozoa; Scleractinia; Pocilloporidae. The record is from RefSeq and is a predicted model, not a curated record.
UUUUAUUGAUUGUUAUUUCUUUGGUUUUUGUCUAGAUAGUACCUGAUAUAAUGUAAUGGGUUUGAGACAGUGAAAUAAGAUUUAAACCACAAGUCAGAGAUCAAACCACUGCAGUUAUAUAAGAUUCCCAUCCCCAUUAACCUUUUCACUCCCACAAGUGACCAAGACAGAAUUUCUCCUUACAAUAUCAAUACAAUAUCAAGCAGGUUUCCAGGAAGGCCAUUUCUAAGAGAAUACCAUCAAACACAUCCUACAAAAUUUGGAAAUUACAGCCUUCCUCAAAAUUAUAGAUUGAAAUAGAUAAAGAGGAACAGUAGCUUACAACAGCAGUGGCUGGCCAAAGCUUCAAGUCUUUUCUUUGGGAUUAUAAGACUUUAUAUUAGUAAUUUUAAGUGCAAGAAAAUGAGUGUACAUGUGUAACAGGCGAAAUUAUUACUAUGAUAUGAUUCAUUUUUAUUUUACUUGUUUAUCAUCACUCCACUAUAAGUUCAGUUUAAGAUUUUGAUACUGUGAAUAUGU